GAAGUAGUAAGUUAAAUAAAACUAUUGGCCUUCAAAUCCGAAAAUGACAUUCCUACUUUUAAAAUUU
This 67-nucleotide transfer RNA is filed under the name Galba pervia. RNAcentral describes it as "tRNA-Trp". The record is from RNAcentral. Lineage: Eukaryota; Metazoa; Mollusca; Gastropoda; Lymnaeidae.